UACGAAGGGGGCUAGCGUUGUUCGGAUUUACUGGGCGUAAAGCGCACGUAGGCGGAUUGUUAAGUCAGGGGUGAAAUCCUGGAGCUCAACUCCAGAACUGCCCUUGAUACUGGCAAUCUUGAGUCCGGAAGAGGUGAGUGGAACUCCUAGUGUAGAGGUGGAAUUCGUAGAUAUUAGGAAGAACACCAGUGGCGAAGGCGGCUCACUGGUCCGGUACUGACGCUGAGGUGCGAAAGCGUGGGGAGCAAACAGG
RNAcentral lists this ribosomal RNA (253 nucleotides) under uncultured bacterium. RNAcentral's name for it is "partial 16S ribosomal RNA". It matches the Rfam family "Bacterial small subunit ribosomal RNA", at positions 524 to 776 of the family's 1533-position model. The record is from RNAcentral.